Molecule: non-coding RNA, 26 nt
Filed under: Mus musculus (house mouse)
Lineage: Eukaryota; Metazoa; Chordata; Mammalia; Rodentia; Muridae
Source: RNAcentral
ACAAAGAUCGUCCAGGGACCUCAGGA